Molecule: long non-coding RNA, 2580 nt
Organism: Bos taurus (domestic cattle)
Lineage: Eukaryota; Metazoa; Chordata; Mammalia; Artiodactyla; Bovidae
Source: Ensembl
CCCCUGAGUUGGUGAUGGACAGGGAGGCCUGUCGCGCUGCAGUUCAUGGGGUCUCAAAGAGUUGGAUACAACUGAGCGAAUGAACUGAACUGAACUGAAGUUGGUCAUAGCUUUUCUUCCAAGGAGCAAGUGUCUUUUAAUUCCAUGGCUACGGUCACCAUCUGCAGUGAUUUUGGAUCCCCCAAAAAUAAAGUCUGACAGUGUUUCUAUUGUUUUCCCAUCUGUUUGCCAUGAAGUGAUGGGACCAGAUGCCAUGAUUUUAGUUUUCUGAAUGUUGAGUUUUAAGCCAACUUUUUCACUCUCCUCUUUCACUUUCAUCAGGAGGCUCUUUAAUUCUUCUUCACUUUCUGUCAUAAGGAUGGGGUCAUCUGCAUAUCUGAGGUUAUUGAUAUUUCUCCUGGCAAUCUUGAUUCCAGCUUGUGCUUCAUCCAGCCCAGCAUUUCUCAUGAUGUACUCUGCAUAUAAGCUAAAUAAGCAGGGUGACAAUAUACAACCUUGAGGCACUCCUUUCCCAAUUUCGAACCAGUCUGUUGUUCCAUAUCCUGUUCUAACUGUCGCUUCUUGACCUGCCUACAGAUUUCUCAGGAGGCAGGUCAGGUGUUCUGGUAUUCCCAACUGUUUAAACUUUCCACAGUUUGUUGUGAUCCACAACGUGUAUAGGUGGCGGGGUGGGGUGGGGGGGAGCGGGGGUGGUAGUAAAUAAAAGACCAUAUGGAAAGGCAGGAAGAAGAUGAGCUGGGAUACGUUGCCGCAGGAGGUAGCCCAGAGGAUGGCAGAAUCAGGCCCGAAAGGCUCCUCCCAGAAGCCCAUUCCCCAGCAGAAGCCAAGUCUCACAGGAUCUCGCGGGUUUGUAAGAGGUUGGCAAGAGGUUCCUGAAAGGGGAAACACCUGGGUGCCUCACUCAGAAUGGAGUUUGGUUCCCAUCGUCUACCCGGCCAAAGCCGCUCCUGGGGCUGCCUCCCCUCUUGCCGUUCUUCGUGAGUCUGUCUGUGUGGCGGCCUGUUCGUCCCAGCUGCACCCUCAGCUCUUAAGGACCCAGCUCAGGCCUGUGGCUGUGCAGGGGCUGGAGCACCCAAGGCCCGAGUGGGAGAGGGAACUGCUCGUGCUUGUGCUGCAAGUGCAUCAAGUUCUGAGAGGCCGAGGGGCCACGCCAGGAACCCAAGCUUCUGCUGUGGGCCACUGGGGCCCCAUCUAACGUCUGCAAGGUGCAGGACUGCACCAGGUCCAGGUGCGAGCCCUGCCAUCGCACCGAGCUUGUUUGUUUCUCUGCGCUGCGCCCGGAAGCAGUGAGGGGCCUAGGAGUCCUCCCCGGAGACCACGACCACCUGUUCCCAGAGACUUUCCCGGAAGAACAGCCUCAGCUCAGUGAGGAUAUCUCUGCACCAAAUGGCUCUCAUCCUUCUGAGAUCAGCCAAGGCCCGUUACCUAUCAGUGAUGGAAGAAUAGAGAACAGGCUUCAAUAGGACCUCAGUGGAUUUGAUGAUGGCCACGUGCAUUGGGAAGGAUGAUCUGUGUCACCGAGUCCACGGAUUCAAACACUCAUCUCAUUUGGAGAUAGCCCACAGACACAUCAGAACUGCUUUUAAUCUCCAGGGAAGAUCCCCUGGAGCAGGGCAUGGCAACCCACUCAGGAGCCUGGCGGGCUACAGUCCAUGGGGUCGCAAAGAGUCAGACAUGACUGAGUGACUAAGCACCCCAUGACCAGUGAAGUUGACAUUAACCAUCGCAACCAUGUUGUUCUUCCAGUUUCACUCUUGUGUCCACACCCCAGGCUAAUGCAGGACAACUUGUUCAGUGGCCACUUUUCACUGUUCAGAAUGAAGUAAAGGGGUAACCUUCGCCCUACCCUGCCUCCUGCGACCUCUACAGGAGACCUCAGUCAGCCUCUCAAGCUAGACAGCAAGUUGGAGCAGGGUGCAGAGUGAAGCCAGAGGAGCCAGUGAACACCCCGUUCCUGUUUCUAAAGACAGUGAGAAUGCAGGCUUCGAGUUCAAUUGACUUGCCCAAGAUCUAGUGAGGAGGUAACCUGAGACCUGGCCGCCAAGAAGAACCAACAUUCAUCACAGCCACUGUGACCCAUUACUUGGAGCUGAACUCAUGAUUUUUCAGUUGUUCUAGUUUCUGACAUCACAUGAUCUUCCGACAUUGAUAUUUCCUGUAAUAGCGUGAAUAUUUCAGAAGUUUUAUGAUAGCAUUAUCUAUAAACUGUAGAAAAGGAUCAAUGGGAUUUUAUGUUUCGACUUCAUAACUGGGUGCAGGCUUUCUCUAGUUGUGGUGAGCAAGAGCUAUUCUCUAGUCACGGUGAGGGGGCUUCUCAUUGCAAUGGUUUCUCUUGCUGCAGAGCAUGGUCUUUAGAGCACGUGGGUUCACUAGCUGCAAAGCCCAGCAGCAUGUGAAAUCUUCCUGGACCCAUGAUCGAACCCAUGUCCCCUGCACUGUCAGGCAGGUUCUUAGCCACUGGACCAGGGAAGUCCUCCGAUUUUUCUUAAAAUGUUACUUUUGUAUCAUGAUACUUCCUCAGAUUACUUUAAGCCUAAUCUUAUAAUUUUCUUCUGUUUAAUGCUAAAGCAGAAUAAAGUU